UGUCACCCAGGCUGGAGUGCAGUGGUGUGAUCUUGGCUCACUGCAACCUCUGCCUCCCGGGUUCAAGCGAUUCUCCUGUCUCAGUCUCCUGAGUAGUGGGGACUACAGGCAGGCAACACCAAGCCUGGCUAAUUUUGUAUAUUUGGUAGAGACAGGGUUUCACCAUGUUGGCCAGGCUGGUCUCAAACUCCUGACUUCAGGUGAUCCUGACCUUGGCUUCCCAAAGUGCUAGGAUUCCAGGCGUGAGCCACCGCACCUGGCUUGCAAAUUUCUAUUUCUAAUUGAGCCAGCAUUUCUUCCCAAAGGUUCACUGGAAAAUCACUGACAUGAAGAAGAUUGAUUAAUAGGAAAAAAGGCAUACACAUUUAUUUAAUGUGUAUACACAGGAGCCUUCAGAAUGAAGACCCAAAGAUAGAGGGGAAAUUGUCCACUUUUACACUUAGGUUCAAGACAGUAUGGAUAGUCACAUAGAAAUAUGACUGGACAAAAAGGGUCUGAUGGAAUGCUAGACUAGACUGAGUAGAAAGCGCAGCAAGGCCUGUCUGCCUAGAUUCUUCCAGGCAUCCAUGCCGCAUUCCUUCCUUCUGGGUAUGGGACAGGAUCCUUUCUGGAGUGGGGGUCUUAUGACCUACAGUCAAAUAAGAUAGGUUAGAUGAGGUCUUUAUGGCCAGUUUUUACACAGAAAGGUGGAAGGAAAGCUAGAGUUGUAUUUUAGGUUUUAUGGCUGGCUUUGGGGAAAAGGGGUUCUGGUUUUUAUAUCCGCCUUGGGGAAGAGGGAUUCUGGUUUCUAUGGCUGGCCUCGGGGAGAAUGAGGGGCAAGAGAUAGGAGGGCAGGAGAAGAUCAGAGAAAAACUUUUGCUUCUGAGGCUAAGCCUUCCUUUUGGGGUAUUGUUUUCUGAGUCCCAACACUUGUUAUUUGGAACAACUCAUUAGAAUGUAGGGACUGGGGCUAUGUCAUGUAUUAACAUCUCCCAGGGAGCUGUCAGCCUCCCUCAGCAAAUGCUUCCUGAAUGCAUGAAUGAACCAAUGAGUGUUGGCCAUGCAAAGUCAGUAGUUUUCUGCCAACCCCAUGAGUUCCACCAGUCGUCUCCAGAGAUUCCUUGCAAAGAACUUGGUACUGGGGCAUGUACUUAUAAUGUCUCCUUCUUUUUCCUUCUAUUCUAUCAUCCUGUGUCUUGUCCAGCCUCCAGGAGUUCAGUGAGAAAGGAAACACACACACACACACUACAAAAACCAGGAGAAAAAAACCAUUAAAAAAUCCCACUGUAGGAAGAUUCUGCUGCCUCUAGACUUUAGGAAAGCCGCUGACCUAAUUCAUUUGCUAUGGUGGCUUUUUCAUCCUCAGGACUGGUGCUGCCUGUGUAGUUCAGCCUGUGAAGGCUCCCUUUCAAGUAGGCCAGCUGCAUGGUAUUCUGGACUUACAAUGUGCAGGGCAGAUGUAGUGUCCCCUUGAAAUACACUUAACGGUGGGCAACAAAAUCCAAAAGCAAACCCCCACAAAUAUCUAACUUAAAAAAAAAGAACUUUCUAGAUCUCAGUCCUCAUCUGGAUACUUCAUUAGGAUCCUGAGACAUCUGGGGACCAGCGAUGGAAAGAAGGAAAGAGACUUCCAUAUGUUGAGAGCCUAUUAUAUGCCUGCAUUGUGCUAAGCCCUUUCCCAUAUGUUAUCCAAUGUAAUCCCCCACAAAAGCCCUGCCAGAGUGGAAUUAUUCUUCUCAUUUUACAAAUAAGAAAACAGUAGCUCGGAGAUGCUAAGUUACUCGCCCAAGGUCACAUAGACGGUAAGUGGUAGAUGCUGAUUUGAAUCCAGACAGUGUCAUUAUCAAGGGGUGGUUUGGGAGGCUUUCGUUGUAACCAUCAUCUGUAGCAGCCCCCUUCUCCACAAUUAUCCCAAAUAAACACACAAUCUAAGUCGGAAGAGCCUACAGGAGGCAAAAAUGUAGCUUCAAUAUGUGCUUCCCUGUCAUCUCCCUUUCAUUGAGAUUAUUGCUGCCCCAAAUCCUGUCUACACAGACAUUCUGGAGUCCGUACUAAAUCAAGAUUUGUCUGGCUGCAAAGACCAUGUUCUGUCCAACACAACCAGGAUGCCUCUUCUCUUAGAUUCCUACCAAGAAGACCUUGCUUCUUGAAACCCUUACCUAGAAGAGCCAAUGAAUCAGUGUAGGAUUUCCCUAAUGGUGGCUGGCACCAUAGGUUCCAAAAUGUCACCACCAGCUCUAAGUCAUCAGCCCUUUAAACGCCUCCACACAUCCCGGGGUAUACUGACGCGAGGAGUCACAGUGGGUAAGCAUCACUAGGUUGCAGAAGCACUGGGCUAAUGGUGUGGAUGAGGGUUUCAAUUUACUUGGAAACAUCCACGGGCCAAGGUUCAGUUCAUUUUAGGUUUCGACUAAGUUUUUCCAGGCUCUAAAUGUAGAGAGCAGGGGUGUUUAAAGUGACUGUCCUGACACAGGCUGUUCCCUAGGGGCCACUCUAGCUUCCUUCUUGGAAGUGUGAUGUGGGUCCAGAGUUCAGGCCAGCCACGGUCUUGGAUUCCAGAUGGGAGUUCAUUUUUAGAGACCAAAUGGUCAUAAGUGAACAUGUCAUCUUGGGCUAGCUGGAAAAUACAAACACCAGCCCAGAGUCCAGGAAUUCAGGAUUGUAAAUAGGUGAAAGCACCCUUCACCUUCUCUCCUCCUUCCCUCAAGGUGGUUCACAUACAACUAUUAGCAAUUGACAUUCAUAGCUCUUGUACUUCACAGUAUUUUCAUGCCUGGGACUCUGUUUUGAUCCCUGCAAGUACAGUGUUAUGAUACUCCUUUUAUGGAUGAUGAAUUGGAGACACCAAGAGGUUCAGAGCUUCUUCCAAAGUCAUAGAGCCAGUGAGUUGUGAAGACGAGGGGCUCAGUCUUCCGAUUCAUGCAAAGGGUUGAUGUGACAUUUUCAGAGCCUAGUUCUAGCUUCAUUGUGCUGGAAAGUGGUCUUGGCCUGAGGACAGCAGGGUGCUUCAGAGUCCAGUCUGAUGCCCUUUGGCAGCCACACACCCUCCUGUGAAGGCACCACAAAUUCCUUGGGAGGGAGACGCGUUCCAGAUGUGUAUGCCGCCUCUAGAGAAAACGUGGCUUCUUCUGGUGAGCCACAUGCAAGGUGUCUCGCUGGCCACUGUGAAGUGGGGAGAGACGCCUGGAGCAAGCCAUGAUCUCUGCCAGCACUGGAAUCACCAACAUCCUUGAGCUUCCUUCAGUCUGAUGCAGAACCUGAGGACGUGGCCAUCUCUUGGUGGUGUUCUGGGAAAGCAGGAAGUCUUCAGACCUGAUUGUCUUCAGAUUUCAGCCAUGGGCUCCCUGGUGAGCCAUCUCAGGGGUAUAGGAAACAUGGAUGCCGCCCCGGAGGCAGCUCUCAGCGCAAUCUGGGAUCUCAGGGGCUGACAGCAGAGAAGUUACCUGAAGGCGCAACAAGCAGUGGUCCCUGUAGGCAGAAGCUACCUGGUGCCCCAGUGAUGUGGGAGGCCCUCAGUUCCUGCGCUUCUUGCUGCCUGGGCACAUGUUCCCGGAGGAUGGCAGGACCUCCUGGCCUCUCCCCUGUCUACCCGCCAGAGCUCUGCUUCUUAAGAUAAGACCACCUCUUUCCUCCAGCCAAUGUGCUGCUCUUCUGACUUCAAAACACUUGCACUUCCAGGGCUCAACGUACAGUGAGUUCUCAAGGAUUCGGUGAAUAAAUGUACAAAUGUCUCCCGUUACAGCUGCCACAUUCAGUGGGGUAGGUCUUAUGAUCAUUUCUCUGAGGAAGGGUGCUGUGCUCAUGGUCUCAGUCUGCAAAUUGCAGACUGAGAAUCCAACGAAGGCACCUGCUCUCUGCCCCCGCACCCCCCCACCGGCCCCAAGGCUGACCCUCUCCUCCCCUGGUAUCAGCUCGAAGCAUUGUUGGAGUCCCCAGGGACCCGGAUGCUUCCCUGUGUGCCCUGUCUUUGAGGUGCCCGCCAUCUCAAGUCAAGACACACAGCAGGGUGUGAGAGGCCAGGGAGCCCAUGGGAAUUCCAGGGGAUGCUCUCAGCGUGUUUUGUGAGGAACGACUGGCUCACCUAGUCAGGCCUGGGACAAAAUAUCACCUGCUGAAGGAUGAUUGGCUGUGGCGCUGGCCUUGUGCUGGAAGAGGGCCUCUGAGAGCACAGGGAACUGCCCCUGGGCAUUUUCUCACAAUUGUUCCGAGGGUUAGAGGCUGGAUCCCAGGAACCGCGUGUGGCCACUCUGUCCUUCUUCAGAGAGAGAUUCAACUUCCGGAGCCAGGGUCACCCCUAAUGGCUCACUUCCCUUCCUUCCCCUGCCAGGAUUUUCCCCCAGAUUAUCUUGGGGUUGUCUCAGCCCUUACCAUACCUCAUCCUUCCCAGCAGCAGCCCGCCAGCCCCACGCGGAGUGUUCUACUCUUUCCAAAGACAGCCCACAUUUCGGGGUCUCCUGCACCCCCAAAUGUGGGAUUGGUAAGAUGCACGCUUCCUGACUUGGGUUUCUUCUUUCAUUUGCAGUUAAAAACCAUGACCACAAAAGAGACAUCCACAACUCGCUGUAAUAGGCGCUUGCAUAAUAGACGUGGGGACAGUGUUUGGGGGAACAGGAUAGGGUGGCUCUGUUUUUCCAACAGUUGUGAGAUUCAUUUUGGUGAAGUAAGAAGGUUUUACAGGGUCCUCUAAGACAGAAGGGGUUUCCUGGGAAGGAAGCUGGCUUAUCAACCUGCCUCCUCUCGCUCACCUGGUGCUAGCUGCUUACUUUCCACCCUUUGCCCUCUGCUGAAGGGAGAGUUUGAACAUCUUUAGAUUCUUUUCUUUGCUUGGCAAGAUGUGCUGUAUUUAUUCAACUUAGCCUCAAGGUUAAGCACACAGACCCUUGUCAGAAGCCAGACAGCGAGUGUUCAAAUCCCAGCUGUGUCACUUACCAGCUCUGUCACACCUUGGGGAUGUGACUUCACUUGCCUUGAUUUCCUCAUCAGUGAAAUGGGGAUAAUAAUAGUACUUGCCCCAUAAACAGGGAUAAUAGUACUUACCUUAUAUAAUAAGGAUUACAUGUAAACAUUUAAUAUACAUAAAGCUCUUGUUUGUUUGUUUUUAGAGACAGGGUCUCAGUCUGUCAUCCAGGCUGGAGUGCAGUGGCAAGAUGCUAGCUCACUGCAGCCUUGACCUCCUGGGCUCAAGGAAUCUUCCUAUUUCAGCUUCCUGAGUAGCUAGGAGUACAGGUGCAUGCCACCAUACCUGGCUAUUUUUAAAACAUGCUUUUAUAUAGAUGGGGUCUUGCUCUGUUUCCCAGGCUAGUUUUGAACUUCUGGCCUCAAGCACUCCUCCCACCUCAGCCUCCAAAGUAUGGGGAUUAUAGGCAUGAGCCACUGUGCCCAGCCAAACAGCUCUUAAAAUAUACAAAAGCUCUUAAAAUAGUGCCUAGCACAGUGUUUACUAUUGUCACUAUCUACUUGGAUUCUCUGCCUGUUGGUCUCCACUUUGCACAAUUAUUUGUGGACAUUUGAGAUCGUCGAGUUCUCGAGAACCAGUCAGGCUGAUUUACCUCCAAUGUACGUGUAAUAUGUUUUUUUCCUUUUCUGGAACUGAGCAACAUCCUCCAAGUUUGUCCACUCUCCGAGUGUCUUAACUGCCCCCGGUAGAGAGGCAUUUAGCAAACAGAAACAGAUUACAGAGACCCUCGUGGCCACAUGCAAUUUGCAGUUGCUCUCAAGAGUGGGUGUGGUCACUUGUUGUUCCCUUUAGCCAUCAUAUCAGCUGCCUGGGUGAGGGGUCAGUGUGCCAAACGUUCCUGGUGGGAAAUGACUUGGUUUCCCAUAUGAGCCCCGACCUUCACUGGCCUCUCCCUCUUAGAACUCCCAUUAACCACCAUGUGUGCUGGUCACUGCAGCUGAAUCCAUCCACAGGGGCUGCCCAGAAAAAGACAAUGACUUCUGCAGGGCUGGGGAGGCUGUCCUCGUGAAAAUAACUGAAUCUACCCGAGUGUGUGGCCUGUGCUGGGGAAACGUGGGUGACUUGAAUGAUGUCAGGCAAUCAGUGCAAUUGAAAUAUGUCAAAAAUGGCUCCAUCAACGCACCCGGCUCAUAUUUAGCUAUAAAAUGUGAGGCCAGGUUACGAACCGGAAGCAUUUCUUUCAACCAAAGUCAUUUGGAAAGGAAUAUCUUUGACACAUCCUUGCUGCCCCUUCCCCCAUUGCGGUGUCCCUGGCUGUGUGGCUGGCAGCCUGGCUCUUGGUGAGUCGCAGCUGCACCUGUGCCCACCUUCUCACCACGGGAGUAGGUGCUUCUCCUUUGGGCACCUUCUGGCUUUGCACCGUAAAAGUGAAAUACGGUGUGGUCCUGCAAGCUGCUUCUCCAGUGAUGUGAAAAGCGUAAGAGAGAGGCUCUGGGAAGGGGCAGAUGCUGCAGGUGCAAUGAUGCCAGCUGUUGAGGACGGUGCCCUGUGCCUGGGGAAGUACAUGCUGUAACUGGAGCUCCACCUUGGUACCCCACCGCUGGACCCUCCAAAGAGAGCUCUGACAUGUAUGAAGUUUCAUAUACUCAAUUCCUUUACCGCUGGACUUGUGAGAAUUGUAUGAGGAAGGCCACUUUGAGGAUCAUAUUCAUGCUGGCAAUAAUGACAUGAAAAGCAACAGUAAUAGUAGCAACUAUCGUCAAGGUCCCAUAGGUACCAGUUUUCAUGCUUAACAGCACAACCAUCUCAUCCCUGGAACCAAGCAUCCCUGGAACCAAGCAAGAUCAGUGCUGUUGAUCUUCAUUUUGCAAUUGAGGUAACGGAGGCUCAGUUAACUUAAGUAACUUGUCAGGGGUACAAAGUAAGUAUAAGUGGCUGAGCUGUGAUUCAGAUCCAGGCCCAUCUGAUGCGAUAGCUCAUUCUUUUCUCCAUGACAUCAGGAGGCCUCCUCCUCCCUUGUGUUGCUCAGAGUUCUGAUAAGAAUCAGAUUUCUAGGUGAAUCACAAGAAGGUGACUAUUCUGGUUAGAUAACGGGAGAAUGGGCCCCAUCAUGGCAACAGACUCCUAAGACUCAUACAUCACAAGAAAGGGCUCCCUACAGCUUUGACACUAGGGUGCUUCUCUGUGCACCUCCUUGCUCCCCUCCCAUGAGAAGGACUGUCUUUCAUCCUCAUAGCUAUUAUUUUUGAAACAUCAGUUUUAAUUUGGGGCACCCGCUCUCUUCGGGAGAUUGCAAAAAUUAAAUCGUUUUUAAGCAACCCAACAACACUUCUGGGGUUUGUAAUAAACUUGUGAAAUUUGCGGAACUUGGUGGUUGAGGUUCUCUCCGUCCUACUUCCCUGGGGCCCCGAGGAGCUUUCGAGUUGGUUCUUCAUGCCCUCUUGUUUGGAGCUGCUUUUGUCAACUGGGCCCAGCUACUGCGUCUUGGACCAAGGAGGCGAUGAGCCCUGAAACAGUCCAGGGUCUCUAGGAGAGCAACUCCCAAACCAUGUUUCUGGCCCUGCCUUCCCUCUGUUAUUCUGGGGAAAAAACUGACCCUACGUGGGUGGGAGGUCCCAUCUACAGAGACCAGCCUUGUUUGUUUCCAUAGGAUUUGACUACUGAGGGGCACGAAAAUACAUAGCCAACUUCCCCUUGCAGAGUUCACUGUCUCCCCUUCCAGCAGAUGACUCCAGGAUCCUUGGAAGCAUAGGAACACACCCCAGUUGAUGACACUGUUUCCUCUCCUCUGCAGAAGAAGAUCCUCUCCACUCACAGGAAACAGCAGCAAGAUGGUUUCCAGGCACCAGCUGUCACUGGGCUUGUACUGUUACAGUCCAAGCUGAGCACGCAAGGCAGGGUGUGUUUCUGGCUCCCCAUAGCUGAAAGCUCAACUUCAUGUGGUCAGGUCUUGGAUGGCGUCAAGGCCUGUAGGGUGAACAGAACUCUCUGAGUCACCUUUCCCUGCUGUUCAGGGCCUUGAUAUAACAGACAGGGCCAUUGGCUCCACAGGGGCAUGGUGGGGAAGAAGGGUCCAGGAAGGCACUUUGCCUUUGUGUCUUGUCCUUGGUAUUUGGAGGGCAACACCCCUGUAUUUUUCUAAUCCUAUUAGCUAAGAAUCUGGAACCUGGGCCAGAGGCCUGGGUUCUAACACUAUCUCCACCGUUUCCCAACCAUGGAUACACCCUAUACUUUCCCUCGUCUGUACAGUGGAGCUAAUAAUAGUACCUAACUCAUGGAACUAUCAUGAGUCUUAAAUGAGUGUUAACACGCAUGAAGUGAAGUGCUUAUAUCUGGCAGAUAGUAAAUGUGUAUUAUCAAUUUAAUUUACACUAUUAUUUGACUGUAUUUCUACUAUACAGAGCAACUAUUGCCUGGUCAUAUGUCCUAACAAAUAAACUGUGGAGACAGACAAGUAACUGUCUCAGUGCUAAGGACACCACUGACCCUCAACAGAAUAAUGCCCCCUAAAGAUGUGUAGACCCUAAUCCCCGGAAUCUGGGAAUGUGUUAGGUUACACGGCAAAGGCAAAGGAAGGUUGCAGGAGGAGCUGAGGCUGCAAAUCAGCUGACCUUACAGUGGGAAGAGAAGCCUGAGUUCUCCAGGUGAGACCAAUGUCCAGCAUCCUGGCUGAGCCUGCUCCCUUUACAAACAAGGUUAGGAUUUAUAACUGCUUUCAUGGUAACAUCUGGCUCAUUUCUCUCAAGUUCCCCCAACUCUUUUUUUUUUUUUAGUAUACAAAUCUUUAUUCUAAAGUCAUUUCAUUUCGGCUCAAUUCCUUCUCUCUCUCUUUCUACCUGUUUGUUUGGCCUUUGGAGAUUGAGAAUGAGAAGUAACAGGACUCAUUACCCACAGCUAGUCACAAGAGGAGACAGAGGGAGAGUGAAUGCAAAAGAAAGGUACCAGAGAGGCCACCUUGCUGGCUGUCAAGGUGGAGUAAAGAGGCCACAAGCCAAGGGGUGUAGGCGGCCUGGUCUCUUCUGCAGCUGCUUUUUAAAACUCUAGGACUUUCUUCCACCAACAAAUUCUUUAGGUUUUAUCAGAGUUAGGAGGCAGUUAGCAUCUGCAACAAUAGAAAGAAUAUGUAUUAUUUGGAAUGCUUGUGUGGCUUAUACAGCUCCCAACCAGUUCGGGAGUCUUAACACAUUGUGCUAAAAGAUGCUGAAGGCUGGGUUUCCACUUCCCAAACAAUUUCAUUCUCUAAGAAAACUGCCGAUAAAGAUAAAAAACAUUACAGCCAAAUGGAGUCUUGCCUGAAUCCCAGGCCCUGCCACAUCGACCGCUGGUUCUAUCAGUGGCCAGUGUUCUGGAAACGCUUCCCCGACAUCAAGGAAGCCGGAUCCUCCCCACACAGUGAUGGGUUCUAGGCCAUUUUUGCUGCCUCGGUCUGGGAGCUCACCAUCCUCAGAAGCUCCCAGCACCUGGAGAUGUCUCGCAUCCUGGCUGAGCCUGCUCCCUUUAGCAAACAAGGUCAGGAUUUGUAACUGCUUUUGUGGCAACAUCUGGCUUAUUU
Molecule: long non-coding RNA, 9428 nt
Filed under: Homo sapiens (human)
Lineage: Eukaryota; Metazoa; Chordata; Mammalia; Primates; Hominidae
Description: long non-coding RNA NONHSAT153161.1
Source: RNAcentral